Molecule: ribosomal RNA, 253 nt
Filed under: uncultured bacterium
Lineage: Bacteria
Description: partial 16S ribosomal RNA
Rfam family: Bacterial small subunit ribosomal RNA
Source: RNAcentral
UACAGAGGCCUCGAGCGUUAGGCGGAAUCACUGGGCUUAAAGCGUGUGUAGGCGGACUGGUAAGUACCUUGUGAAAUCCCACAGCUUAACUGUGGAACUGCUCGGUAUACUGCUGGUCUUGAGCCACUCAGGGGCUACCGGAACAAAUGGUGGAGCGGUGAAAUGCGUAGAUAUCAUUUGGACCGCCAAUGGUGAAAACAGGUAGCUGGGGGUGUGCUGACGCUGAGACACGAAAGCCAGGGGAGCAAACGGG